This 396-nucleotide ribosomal RNA is filed under the name uncultured bacterium. RNAcentral describes it as "bacterial SSU rRNA". It matches the Rfam family "Bacterial small subunit ribosomal RNA", at positions 505 to 898 of the family's 1533-position model. The record is from RNAcentral.
GUGCCAGCAGCCGCGGUAAGACAGAGGGUGCAAACGUUGUUCGGAAUCACUGGGCAUAAAGCGCACGUAGGCGGUCCGCUAAGUCAGGUGUGAAAGCCCCCGGCUCAACCGGGGAAUGGCAUCUGAUACUGGCGGGCUCGAGGAUGGCAGGGGUGAGCGGAACUCCAGGUGGAGCGGUGAAAUGCGUAGAUAUCUGGAGGAACACCGGUGGCGAAAGCGGCUCACUGGACCAUAUCUGACGCUGAGGUGCGAAAGCUAGGGUAGCAAACGGGAUUAGAUACCCCGGUAGUCCUAGCCGUAAACGAUGGGCACUAGGCAGGGGAGAUGCCUAUGGUCUUCUCUGCCGCAGCUAAUGUGUUAAGUGCCCCGCCUGGGGAGUACGCUCGCAAGGGUAAA